GUGUUCUGGUAGUACAUACACUAAAAUUGUAAAGAUACAAAGGAGAUUAACAUUGCCCUUGCACUAAGAUGACACACAAAUUCCUGAAGCAUUCCAUACUUUU
This is a small nuclear RNA of Cricetulus griseus (Chinese hamster), 103 nucleotides long. Lineage: Eukaryota; Metazoa; Chordata; Mammalia; Rodentia; Cricetidae. The record is from Ensembl.